RNAcentral lists this ribosomal RNA (501 nucleotides) under uncultured bacterium. Its description in RNAcentral is "bacterial SSU rRNA". It matches the Rfam family "Bacterial small subunit ribosomal RNA", at positions 30 to 524 of the family's 1533-position model. The record is from RNAcentral.
AUUGAACGCUGGCGGCAUGCUUUACACAUGCAAGUCGAACGGAUUAGAGGGGCUUGCUCCUCUAGUUAGUGGCGAACGGGUGAGUAAUGCAUCGGAACGUACCGUGUAGUGGGGGAUAACCCGGCGAAAGUCGGAUUAAUACCGCAUACGAUCUAAGGAUGAAAGCGGGGGAUCGCAAGACCUCGCGCUAUACGAGCGGCCGAUGUCGGAUUAGCUAGUUGGUAGGGUAAAGGCCUACCAAGGCAACGAUCCGUAGCGGGUCUGAGAGGAUGAUCCGCCACACUGGGACUGAGACACGGCCCAGACUCCUACGGGAGGCAGCAGUGGGGAAUUUUGCGCAAUGGACGAAAGUCCGACGCAGCAACGCCGCGUGGGUGAUGAAGGUCUUCGGACUGUAAAACCCUGUCGUCAGGGACGAAGGUGGCAGUGUUAAUAGCGCUGUUACUUGACGGUACCUGGAGAGGAAGCCCCGGCUAACUCUGUGCCAGCAGCCGCGGUAAU